UAAUACAUGCAAGUCGAGCGGACAGAAGGGAGCUUGCUCCCGGAUGUUAGCGGCGGACGGGUGAGUAACACGUGGGUAACCUGCCUGUAAGACUGGGAUAACUCCGGGAAACCGGAGCUAAUACCGGAUAGUUCCUUGAACCGCAUGGUUCAAGGAUGAAAGACGGUUUCGGCUGUCACUUACAGAUGGACCCGCGGCGCAUUAGCUAGUUGGUGGGGUAAUGGCUCACCAAGGCGACGAUGCGUAGCCGACCUGAGAGGGUGAUCGGCCACACUGGGACUGAGACACGGCCCAGACUCCUACGGGAGGCAGCAGUAGGGAAUCUUCCGCAAUGGACGAAAGUCUGACGGAGCAACGCCGCGUGAGUGAUGAAGGUUUUCGGAUCGUAAAGCUCUGUUGUUAGGGAAGAACAAGUGCGAGAGUAACUGCUCGCACCUUGACGGUACCUAACCAGAAAGCCACGGCUAACUACGUGCCAGCAGCCGCGGUAAUACGUAGGUGGCAAGCGUUGUCCGGAAUUAUUGGGCGUAAAGGGCUCGCAGGCGGUUUCUUAAGUCUGAUGUGAAAGCCCCCGGCUCAACCGGGGAGGGUCAUUGGAAACUGGGAAACUUGAGUGCAGAAGAGGAGAGUGGAAUUCCACGUGUAGCGGUGAAAUGCGUAGAGAUGUGGAGGAACACCAGUGGCGAAGGCGACUCUCUGGUCUGUAACUGACGCUGAGGAGCGAAAGCGUGGGGAGCGAACAGGAUUAGAUACCCUGGUAGUCCACGCCGUAAACGAUGAGUGCUAAGUGUUAGGGGGUUUCCGCCCCUUAGUGCUGCAG
This 820-nucleotide ribosomal RNA is filed under the name Bacillus pumilus. RNAcentral describes it as "bacterial SSU rRNA". It matches the Rfam family "Bacterial small subunit ribosomal RNA", at positions 49 to 851 of the family's 1533-position model. The record is from RNAcentral. Lineage: Bacteria; Bacillati; Bacillota; Bacilli; Caryophanales; Bacillaceae.